AAUACUUUGGGGGUAAGCUUUAGUGCUGGCCUUCAGGCUGAGCUGCUUGUGCCUUAGGCCUCUGUGGACGCUGUGCCUGUGCUGGCCGUCCUGGGAACGUCUUCCUUACUAUUUGGAGGUGUGAGAAGACCGCAGAGAAGAAGUGGUGGCAUUGGGAGCUGACCCCAGCCUGGUCAUUUCCUGUGUUAGCAUCUGACCACAGAUCCAUCUUCCUUCCAGACAAACGAGCAGUAUGAUGUUAAGGCUUCUUUGAUGGACUUCAGGCAAAGGCUGAAGACAGGAAGGAAGAAAAUAGCCAAGGUGUGAGUUAAGAAGGAUCUGCGUGUGAAUAUCAGCAAGACCGUUUUCUUAAAAUGCACCCUCCUGCUGCUCACCUUGCAUGAUCAAUGUCUCCUGCUAACAAGAGUAAAGUGAGAUCAUAUCAGUAUUGCUAUCACAAAUACAAAAUUAGAACAAAAUCCUAGUUAAAAUACAGGACCUGAGCAUGGACAUGCCUGAAAAGAUGAACCCAGAAAGCUCUGUGAAGUAUGGCUGCCUGGAGAGUUAUGAACUCCCCUUGGGAAUUGUGCCUUGAGCUGUUAACUACAAAACCCUUCGCUUGCAUUGUCUACCAAAUGCAUGUAUAGUUCAAAACAGCUAUCUGAAAAUCAUCUCUAAUUUUGUUGGGCUGAAAGUAAGAAUCUGUUUCCCUCUUAUAUUGAAUCUGUCAAAUUACUUGAGCAUGAAGAAUAAGCAGUAAGUUGUAAUAAAGCAGGUAUGAUGAGCUUGAAACAUUGUGCUUUGCCUUCCACCAUCAAUAUAAUGGCUAUAAAUUGUUGCUUAAGCCAUGACAAAUAUAUCUGAAUAUGUGCUUUCACGAAUCUGCGAUGAUGUAUGGAGACAAUGCAUAAAGAAUUGGGGUCUAUUACAGUUCACAGAUAGCAAACAGGAGUGGUUAUAGGUUUAAUGGAUGAUUGAGCAACGUUUCAAAGGUGUUUUACCUUUUCUUGCCUGUCCAUUUACAUCAAGGCCAAGACAGCAGACUGAAAU
Nothoprocta perdicaria is the source of this 1029-nucleotide long non-coding RNA. RefSeq lists it as uncharacterized. The transcript is spliced from 3 exons. The record is from RefSeq and is a predicted model, not a curated record. Lineage: Eukaryota; Metazoa; Chordata; Aves; Tinamiformes; Tinamidae.